UAAGGAAUAUUGGUCAAUGGACGCAAGUCUGAACCAGCCAUGCCGCGUGGAGGAUGAAGGUCCUCUGGAUUGUAAACUUCUUUUAUUUGGGAAGAAAUGCAUUUUUUCUAAAGUGCUUGACGGUACCAGAUGAAUAAGCACCGGCUAACUCCGUGCCAGCAGCCGCGGUAAUACGGAGGGUGCAAGCGUUAUCCGGAUUUACUGGGUUUAAAGGGUGCGCAGGCGGAUAUGUAAGUCAGUGGUGAAAUCUUUGGGCUUAACCCAAAAAUUGCCAUUGAUACUAUAUAUCUUGAAUGCUGUGGAGGUAAGCGGAAUAUGUCAUGUAGCGGUGAAAUGCUUAGAGAUGACAUAGAACACCUAUUGCGAAGGCAGCUUACUACGCAGAGAUUGACGCUCAUGCACGAAAGCGUGGGGAUCAAACA
Molecule: ribosomal RNA, 422 nt
Filed under: uncultured Parafilimonas sp.
Lineage: Bacteria; Pseudomonadati; Bacteroidota; Chitinophagia; Chitinophagales; Chitinophagaceae
Description: bacterial SSU rRNA
Rfam family: Bacterial small subunit ribosomal RNA
Source: RNAcentral